GACAGAGGGUGCAAACGUUGCUCGGAAUCACUGGGCGUAAAGGGCGCGUAGGCGGACAAGUAAGUCGGGCGUGAAAGCCCUGGGCUUAACCUAGGAAGUGCAUUCGAAACUCUCGGGCUUGAGUUCUGGAGAGGAAGGCGGAAUUCUCGGUGUAGAGGUGAAAUUCGUAGAUAUCGAGAGGAACACCGGUGGCGAAGGCGGCCUUCUGGACAGUGACUGACGCUGAGACGCGAAAGCGUGGGGAGCAAACAGG
This 253-nucleotide ribosomal RNA is filed under the name uncultured bacterium. RNAcentral's name for it is "partial 16S ribosomal RNA". It matches the Rfam family "Bacterial small subunit ribosomal RNA", at positions 524 to 776 of the family's 1533-position model. The record is from RNAcentral.